This 608-nucleotide ribosomal RNA is filed under the name uncultured rumen bacterium. RNAcentral describes it as "bacterial SSU rRNA". It matches the Rfam family "Bacterial small subunit ribosomal RNA", at positions 34 to 641 of the family's 1533-position model. The record is from RNAcentral.
CGCUGGCGGCGUGCUUAACACAUGCAAGUCGAACGAGAAUCACCGGAAGGAGUUUUCGGACAACGGAAGGUGAGGACAGUGGCGGACGGGUGAGUAACGCGUGAGGAACCUGCCUUUCAGAGGGGGACAACAGUUGGAAACGACUGCUAAUACCGCAUAACGCAUAGGUAUCGCAUGGUACUUAUGCCAAAGAUUUAUCGCUGAAAGAUGGCCUCGCGUCUGAUUAGCUGGUUGGUGAGGUAACGGCCCACCAAGGCGACGAUCAGUAGCCGGACUGAGAGGUUGACCGGCCACAUUGGGACUGAGAUACGGCCCAGACUCCUACGGGAGGCAGCAGUGGGGAAUAUUGGGCAAUGGGCGCAAGCCUGACCCAGCAACGCCGCGUGAAGGAAGAAGGCUUUCGGGUUGUAAACUUCUUUUGGCAGGGAAGAGGAGAAGACGGUACCUGCCGAAUAAGCCACGGCUAACUACGUGCCAGCAGCCGCGGUAAUACGUAGGUGGCAAGCGUUGUCCGGAUUUACUGGGUGUAAAGGGCGUGUAGCCGGGUUGGUAAGUCAGAUGUGAAAUGCACGGGCUUAACUCGUGAACUGCAUUUGAAACUGCUGAUC